UACGAAGGGGGCUAGCGUUGCUCGGAAUCACUGGGCGUAAAGGGUGCGUAGGCGGGUCUUUAAGUCAGGGGUGAAAUCCUGGAGCUCAACUCCAGAACUGCCUUUGAUACUGAGGAUCUUGAGUUCGGGAGAGGUGAGUGGAACUGCGAGUGUAGAGGUGAAAUUCGUAGAUAUUGGGAAGAACACCGGUGGCGAAGGCGGCCAUCUGGACCGCAACUGACGCUGAGGCGCGAAAGCGUGGGGAGCAAACAGG
RNAcentral lists this ribosomal RNA (253 nucleotides) under uncultured bacterium. RNAcentral's name for it is "partial 16S ribosomal RNA". It matches the Rfam family "Bacterial small subunit ribosomal RNA", at positions 524 to 776 of the family's 1533-position model. The record is from RNAcentral.